GAUGAACGCUGGCGGCGUGCCUAACACAUGCAAGUCGAGCGAUUCUCUUCGGAGAAGAGCGGCGGACGGGUGAGUAACGCGUGGGUAACCUGCCCUGUACACACGGAUAACAUACCGAAAGGUAUGCUAAUACGAGACAAUAUACUUUUAUCGCAUGGUAGAAGUAUCAAAGCUUUUUCGGUACAGGAUGGACCCGCGUCUGAUUAGCUAGUUGGUACGGUAACGGCUUACCCAGGCGACGAUCAGUAGCCGACCUGAGAGGGUGAUCGGACACAUUGGAACUGGGACACGGUCCAAACUCCUAGGGGAGGCAGGAGUGGGGAAUAUUGCACAAUGGGCGAAAGCCUGAUGCAGCAACGCCGCGUGGGCGAUGAAGGCCUUCGGGUCGUAAAGCUCUGUCCUCAAGGAAGAUAAUGACGGUACUUGAGGAGGAAGCCCCGGCUAACUACGUGCCAGCAGCCGCCGUAA
Molecule: ribosomal RNA, 468 nt
Filed under: uncultured bacterium
Lineage: Bacteria
Description: partial 16S ribosomal RNA
Rfam family: Bacterial small subunit ribosomal RNA
Source: RNAcentral